CUACCCGGAAGACUUUCACCCAUGCCCAGACCUAGCCAGACUAACCAGCUCUGUGCUGCCUCCUGAUCAGCAUGCUGGACUCACACUUCACUCUGCAACUGAAUAGAUUCCUGCCCCAGCUGGAGGACCUGGGGACCAGUGAGGAUAAGCCCAAGGCAGUGCCAGUUACAAUCUCACUAAAUGUUGACAGUGAGAAUUGACAACUGAGACAGAACGCAGGAAUGUCGCGUGACUCCCUCCACCACCCCCGACACAAACUGAGAAUGGGAUGCUCCACAUCUCGGCCACUAAAGAAGUACGAACUACAAACACAGUGGGAUUUCCCUCACUCCCACUGCAGCACCUGUCAUCAGCGUUACGUAAGGGAAUGAGUGUUGGGACAUUUCAGCAGCUGCCAAGAACACCUCUGUACCCUGAAAACUUUCUCUUUUUUCCCAUCUGCUGCGUCCACUGCCUACAACUGCUUUUGUUUAUUCAAGGAAAAUGAUUUGGGGAGCUCUGAUCUGGUAAACUUCCAAGUUCCAAGUUCCAUCUGACUUGGAGCUCAUGGGCUCUGCCUGUUUUCUCACUGGAAAUGCACUCCAAGGAUGUACUCUCUCCACAGUCUGAACCUCUGUUAGGUCAUUUAUCAGUGCCAUUUUGGUGAGGUAAGGACCUUCCCUAGUUAGGCCAUUCAGACCUGUUGCAGGGGCACUGUCAUUCAGACCUGUCAUUUUGGGGCACUGAUUGCUGUGAGAAGAGAUUAAGAAGUAAGAAAAUUUCCAGCCAUUUGUUUUGGUUUGGUUUGGUUUAGAAUAGUCCUUUAUUUAGGUCUGCUUUGAUACAUUUUCUUUAACCUUUCUCUUCCUAUAAUCACCUUUAUUCUAGGAUGAGCAGCAGACGUUCAUUCAGUAUCAUCUAAAGUUGUGUAAACUAUUUGGGCUUCAAGUCAUUCUGAGGCUUCUUUGUGAGCCAGUACAGAGUUCACGGUUCUUGAACCACUUGUCAACAAGAAAAACGCUUUUAAAAUUGAAGAAAAAAAUUUAAAACUGCUAGUGUUUAAAAAGCUCUGUUAUGAACUACUCAAAAGUGAAAAUCCUUGUGCUGUUCUGAAGCUCCCUAAUAAAGUCUUAGUUACCUGUAACUUUAAAAUGGUGAUUUUAUUGUGAUACACCGUGACAUGUAUAA
Chinchilla lanigera (long-tailed chinchilla) is the source of this 1167-nucleotide long non-coding RNA. RefSeq lists it as uncharacterized. NCBI's taxonomy places the organism in Eukaryota, Metazoa, Chordata, Mammalia, Rodentia, Chinchillidae. The transcript is spliced from 3 exons. The record is from RefSeq and is a predicted model, not a curated record.